GCUCUCGUGGUCUAGAAGAUAGGGCCCAGGUCUACGGAACCUGUGACGGUGGUGCAAUUCCAUCCGAGAGUACUA
This 75-nucleotide transfer RNA is filed under the name Nannocystis exedens. RNAcentral describes it as "tRNA_Pseudo_ACG". It matches the Rfam family "tRNA". Rfam says of the family: Transfer RNA (tRNA) molecules are approximately 80 nucleotides in length. Their secondary structure includes four short double-helical elements and three loops (D, anti-codon, and T loops). Further hydrogen bonds mediate the characteristic L-shaped molecular structure. tRNAs have two regions of fundamental functional importance: the anti-codon, which is responsible for specific mRNA codon recognition, and the 3' end, to which the tRNAs corresponding amino acid is attached (by aminoacyl-tRNA synthetases). tRNAs cope with the degeneracy of the genetic code in two manners: having more than one tRNA (with a specific anti-codon) for a particular amino acid; and 'wobble' base-pairing, i.e. permitting non-standard base-pairing at the 3rd anti-codon position. Lineage: Bacteria; Pseudomonadati; Myxococcota; Nannocystales; Nannocystaceae. The record is from RNAcentral.